This 2904-nucleotide ribosomal RNA is filed under the name Enterobacter hormaechei. RNAcentral's name for it is "23S ribosomal RNA". It matches the Rfam family "Bacterial large subunit ribosomal RNA". Lineage: Bacteria; Pseudomonadati; Pseudomonadota; Gammaproteobacteria; Enterobacterales; Enterobacteriaceae. The record is from RNAcentral.
GGUUAAGCGACUAAGCGUACACGGUGGAUGCCCUGGCAGUCAGAGGCGAUGAAGGACGUGCUAAUCUGCGAAAAGCGCCGGCGAGGUGAUAUGAACCCUUGACCCGGCGAUGUCCGAAUGGGGAAACCCAGUGUGUUUCGACACACUAUCGUUAACUGAAUACAUAGGUUAACGAGGCGAACCGGGGGAACUGAAACAUCUAAGUACCCCGAGGAAAAGAAAUCAACCGAGAUUCCCCCAGUAGCGGCGAGCGAACGGGGAGCAGCCCGGAGUCUGAAUCAGCUUGUGUGUUAGUGGAACGGUCUGGAAAGUCCGACGGUACAGGGUGAUAGUCCCGUACACGAAAACACACUUGCUGUGAACUCGAAGAGUAGGGCGGGACACGUGGUAUCCUGUCUGAAUAUGGGGGGACCAUCCUCCAAGGCUAAAUACUCCUGACUGACCGAUAGUGAACCAGUACCGUGAGGGAAAGGCGAAAAGAACCCCGGCGAGGGGAGUGAAAAAGAACCUGAAACCGUGUACGUACAAGCAGUGGGAGCACCUUCGUGGUGUGACUGCGUACCUUUUGUAUAAUGGGUCAGCGACUUAUAUUCUGUAGCAAGGUUAACCGUAUAGGGGAGCCGAAGGGAAACCGAGUCUUAACUGGGCGUUAAGUUGCAGGGUAUAGACCCGAAACCCGGUGAUCUAGCCAUGGGCAGGUUGAAGGUUGGGUAACACUAACUGGAGGACCGAACCGACUAAUGUUGAAAAAUUAGCGGAUGACCUGUGGCUGGGGGUGAAAGGCCAAUCAAACCGGGAGAUAGCUGGUUCUCCCCGAAAGCUAUUUAGGUAGCGCCUCGUGAACUCAUCUUCGGGGGUAGAGCACUGUUUCGGCUAGGGGGCCAUCCCGGCUUACCAACCCGAUGCAAACUACGAAUACCGAAGAAUGUUAUCACGGGAGACACACGGCGGGUGCUAACGUCCGUCGUGAAGAGGGAAACAACCCAGACCGCCAGCUAAGGUCCCAAAGUCAUGGUUAAGUGGGAAACGAUGUGGGAAGGCACAGACAGCCAGGAUGUUGGCUUAGAAGCAGCCAUCAUUUAAAGAAAGCGUAAUAGCUCACUGGUCGAGUCGGCCUGCGCGGAAGAUGUAACGGGGCUAAACCAUGCACCGAAGCUGCGGCAGCGACACUAUGUGUUGUUGGGUAGGGGAGCGUUCUGUAAGCCGUUGAAGGUGUGCUGUGAGGCAUGCUGGAGGUAUCAGAAGUGCGAAUGCUGACAUAAGUAACGAUAAAGCGGGUGAAAAGCCCGCUCGCCGGAAGACCAAGGGUUCCUGUCCAACGUUAAUCGGGGCAGGGUGAGUCGACCCCUAAGGCGAGGCCGAAAGGCGUAGUCGAUGGGAAACAGGUUAAUAUUCCUGUACUUGGUGUUACUGCGAAGGGGGGACGGAGAAGGCUAUGUCAGCCGGGCGACGGUUGUCCCGGUUUAAGCAUGUAGGCGGAGGUUCCAGGUAAAUCCGGUACCUUUUAACGCUGAGGUGUGAUGACGAGGCACUACGGUGCUGAAGUGAUAAAUGCCCUGCUUCCAGGAAAAGCCUCUAAGCAUCAGGUAACACGAAAUCGUACCCCAAACCGACACAGGUGGUCAGGUAGAGAAUACCAAGGCGCUUGAGAGAACUCGGGUGAAGGAACUAGGCAAAAUGGUGCCGUAACUUCGGGAGAAGGCACGCUGAUAGGUAGGUGAAGCCCCUGCGGGCGGAGCUGAAAUCAGUCGAAGAUACCAGCUGGCUGCAACUGUUUAUUAAAAACACAGCACUGUGCAAACACGAAAGUGGACGUAUACGGUGUGACGCCUGCCCGGUGCCGGAAGGUUAAUUGAUGGGGUUAGCGGCAACGCGAAGCUCUUGAUCGAAGCCCCGGUAAACGGCGGCCGUAACUAUAACGGUCCUAAGGUAGCGAAAUUCCUUGUCGGGUAAGUUCCGACCUGCACGAAUGGCGUAAUGAUGGCCAGGCUGUCUCCACCCGAGACUCAGUGAAAUUGAACUCGCUGUGAAGAUGCAGUGUACCCGCGGCAAGACGGAAAGACCCCGUGAACCUUUACUAUAGCUUGACACUGAACACUGGUCCUUGAUGUGUAGGAUAGGUGGGAGGCUUUGAAGCGUGGACGCCAGUCUGCGUGGAGCCGUCCUUGAAAUACCACCCUUUAAUGGCUGGUGUUCUAACGUAGACCCGUGAUCCGGGUUGCGGACAGUGUCUGGUGGGUAGUUUGACUGGGGCGGUCUCCUCCCAAAGAGUAACGGAGGAGCACGAAGGUUGGCUAAUCCUGGUCGGACAUCAGGAGGUUAGUGCAAUGGCAUAAGCCAGCUUGACUGCGAGCGUGACGGCGCGAGCAGGUGCGAAAGCAGGUCAUAGUGAUCCGGUGGUUCUGAAUGGAAGGGCCAUCGCUCAACGGAUAAAAGGUACUCCGGGGAUAACAGGCUGAUACCGCCCAAGAGUUCAUAUCGACGGCGGUGUUUGGCACCUCGAUGUCGGCUCAUCACAUCCUGGGGCUGAAGUAGGUCCCAAGGGUAUGGCUGUUCGCCAUUUAAAGUGGUACGCGAGCUGGGUUUAGAACGUCGUGAGACAGUUCGGUCCCUAUCUGCCGUGGGCGCUGGAGAAUUGAGGGGGGCUGCUCCUAGUACGAGAGGACCGGAGUGGACGCAUCACUGGUGUUCGGGUUGUCAUGCCAAUGGCACUGCCCGGUAGCUAAAUGCGGAAGAGAUAAGUGCUGAAAGCAUCUAAGCACGAAACUUGCCCCGAGAUGAGUUCUCCCUGAGACUUUAAGUCUCCUGAAGGAACGUUGAAGACGACGACGUUGAUAGGUCGGGUGUGUAAGCGCAGCGAUGCGUUGAGCUAACCGAUACUAAUGAACCGUGAGGCUUAACCUU